UAAGACGAACCGUACAAACGUUAUUCGGAAUCACUGGGCUUAAAGGGUGCGUAGGCGGCGCUGAAAGUUGGGUGUGAAAUCCCUCGGCUCAACCGAGGAACUGCGCCCAAAACUACAGUGCUUGAGGGAGAUAGAGGUGAGCGGAACUUAGGGUGGAGCGGUGAAAUGCGUUGAUAUCCUAAGGAACGCCAGGGGCGAAAGCGGCUCACUGGGUCUCUUCUGACGCUGAGGCACGAAAGCUAGGGUAGCGAACGGG
RNAcentral lists this ribosomal RNA (256 nucleotides) under uncultured archaeon. RNAcentral describes it as "partial 16S ribosomal RNA". It matches the Rfam family "Bacterial small subunit ribosomal RNA", at positions 521 to 776 of the family's 1533-position model. The record is from RNAcentral.